This 468-nucleotide ribosomal RNA is filed under the name uncultured bacterium. Its description in RNAcentral is "partial 16S ribosomal RNA". It matches the Rfam family "Bacterial small subunit ribosomal RNA", at positions 28 to 507 of the family's 1533-position model. The record is from RNAcentral.
GACGAACGCUGGCGGCGUGCUUAACACAUGCAAGUCGAACGGAAAGGCCCUGCUUUUGUGGUGUGCUCGAGUGGCGAACGGGUGAGUAACACGUGAGUAACCUGCCCUUGACUUUGGGAUAACUUCAGGAAACUGGGGCUAAUACCGGAUAGGAGCUCCUGCUGCAUGGUGGGGGGUGGAAAGUUUCGGCGGUUGGGGAUGGACUCGCGGCUUAUCAGCUUGUUGGUGGGGUAGUGGCUUACCAAGGCUUUGACGGGUAGCCGGCCUGAGAGGGUGACCGGCCACAUUGGGACUGAGGUACGGCCCAGACUCCUACGGGAGGCAGCGGUGGGGAAUAUUGCACAAUGGGCGGAAGCCUGAUGCAGCAACGCCGCGUGCGGGAUGACGGCCUUCGGGUUGUAAACCGCUUUCGCCUGUGACGAAGCGUGAGUGACGGUAAUGGGUAAAGAAGCACCGGCUAACUACGUG